GUUUCACAUGGACCUGAUGGAUGGGUGAAUGAGUUUGCCACUGAAAGAGAGCAAAAUGGGUCUGUUGAUGAUCAAUGGGUAAAUGAAUUCUCAAAGUUGCAUGUUAAUGACUGGGUAGAAGAAUUUGGGCAUCAGGUAGAGGAAGGAGCAUUGGGGGAUAGUUCUGCUGAUGCCUGGGCAAAUGCCUAUGAUGAGUACCUCAAUGAACAAGUAGCUGUCAAGAAGCAGUCAGAAGCUUCAAGGGGAGUUUAUGUGUUCUCUGAUAUGAAUCCUUAUGUUGGUCACCCCAAUCCCUUAAGAGAGGGCCAGGAGCUAUUCCGCAAAGGUCUUUUGAGUGAAGCGGUGCUUGCUUUAGAGGCUGAAGUCUUGAA
Molecule: unclassified non-coding RNA, 371 nt
Filed under: Hevea brasiliensis (rubber tree)
Lineage: Eukaryota; Viridiplantae; Streptophyta; Magnoliopsida; Malpighiales; Euphorbiaceae
Source: RNAcentral